This 460-nucleotide ribosomal RNA is filed under the name uncultured bacterium. Its description in RNAcentral is "partial 16S ribosomal RNA". It matches the Rfam family "Bacterial small subunit ribosomal RNA", at positions 338 to 795 of the family's 1533-position model. The record is from RNAcentral.
CCUACGGGAGGCAGCAGUGAGGAAUAGUGGUCAAUGGGCGCGAGACUGAACCAGCCAAGUAGCGGGAAGGAGGAAGGCACAACGGGAGGUAAACUUCUUUUAUAAAGGAAUAAAGUGAGGCACGUGUGCCCUUUUGUAUGUACCUUAUGAAUAAGGAUCGGCUAACUCCGUGCCAGCAGCCGCGGUAAUACGGAGGAUCCGAGCGUUAUCCGGAUUUAUUGGGUUUAAAGGGGGCGUAGAUGGGUUGUUAAGUCAGUUGUGAAAGUUUGCGGCUCAACCGUUAAAUUGCAAUUGAUACUGGCAGCCUUGAGUACGGUUGAGGUAGGCGGAUUUCGUGGUGUAGCGGUGAAAUGCUUAGAUAUCGCGAAGAACUCCGAUUGCGAAGGCAGCCUACUAGACUGCCACUGACAUUGAUGCUCGAAAGUGUGGGUAUCAAACAGGAUUAGAUACCCCAGUAGUC